GGUGAACGCUGGCGGCGUGCCUAACACAUGCAAGUCGAGCGGUGCAGUUUGAAGCUUCGGUGGAAAGGCUGCAUAGCGGCGGACGGGUGAGGAAAACGUAGGAACGUGCCCCUUGGAGCUGGAUAGCCACGGGAAACUGUGGGUAAACCGACAUAGACUCGAGAGAGUAAAGGCCGAAAGGCGCCAAGGGAGCGGCCUGCGGCCCAUCAGGUAGUUGGUAGUGUAAAGGACUACCAAGCCGACGACGGGUAGCCGGUCUGAGAGGAUGGCCGGCCACAAGGGCACUGAGAGACGGGCCCUACUCCUACGGGAGGCAGCAGUGGGGGAUUUUGGACAAUGGGCGAAAAGCCUGAUCCAGCGACGCCGCGUGGAGGACGAAGCCCUUCGGGGUGUAAACUCCUUUUCUCAGGGAAAAAAGGAUGAUGGUACCUGAGGAAUAAGCCCCGGCUAACUACGUG
This 458-nucleotide ribosomal RNA is filed under the name uncultured bacterium. RNAcentral's name for it is "bacterial SSU rRNA". It matches the Rfam family "Bacterial small subunit ribosomal RNA", at positions 28 to 507 of the family's 1533-position model. The record is from RNAcentral.